This 253-nucleotide ribosomal RNA is filed under the name uncultured bacterium. Its description in RNAcentral is "partial 16S ribosomal RNA". It matches the Rfam family "Bacterial small subunit ribosomal RNA", at positions 524 to 776 of the family's 1533-position model. The record is from RNAcentral.
GACAGAGGGUGCAAACGUUGUUCGGAAUUACUGGGCGUAAAGGGUGCGUAGGUGGCGCCGUAAGUCGGGUGUGAAAUUUCGGAGCUUAACUCCGAAACUGCAUUCGAUACUGCGGUGCUUGAGGACUGGAGAGGAGACUGGAAUUUAUGGUGUAGCAGUGAAAUGCGCAGAUAUCAGGAAGAACACCCGUGGCGAAGGCGGCUCUCUGGGACGGUACUGACGCUGAGACGCGAAAGCGUGGGGAGCGAACAGG